RNAcentral lists this non-coding RNA (949 nucleotides) under Carterodon sulcidens (Owl's spiny rat). Lineage: Eukaryota; Metazoa; Chordata; Mammalia; Rodentia; Echimyidae. The record is from RNAcentral.
AAAGGUUUGGUCCUAGCUUUUUUAUUAGUUCACAGCAAAAUUAUACAUGCAAGAAUCGUCACCCCAGUGAGAAUUCCCUCUUGAUCACAAUUUAGAUUUAAAGGAGUAGGCAUCAAGCACACACUAAAAGUAGCUCAUGACGCCUUGCUUAGCCACACCCCCACGGGAUACAGCAGUAAUAAAAAUUAAGCUAUAAACGAAAGUUUGACUAAGUUAUGCUACACCCCUAGAGUUGGUCAAUCUCGUGCCAGCCACCGCGGUCAUACGAUUGACUCUAACUAAUAAAGCACGGCGUAAAGAGUGUUAAAGAUAAUACAAAAAUAAAAUUAAAUAUAACCUAAGCUGUAAAAAGCAACAGGCUAUAAAAAAAUCACAUACAAAAGUAAUUUUAAUUUGUCCAACACACUAAAGCUAAGGCCCAAACUGGGAUUAGAUACCCCACUAUGCUCAGCCCUAAGCACAAAAACUUUAUAACAAAAAUUUUCGCCAGAGGACUACUAGCAACAGCUUAAAACUCAAAGGACUUGGCGGUGCUUUAAACCCAUCUAGAGGAGCCUGUUCUAUAAUCGAUAAACCCCGAUAAACCUCACCACUUCUUGCUAAUACAGUUUAUAUACCGCCAUCUUCAGCAAACCCCAAAAGGGAACCAAAGUAAGCAUAAGAAUACUCAUAAAAACGUUAGGUCAAGGUGUAACCAAUGAAGCGGAAAGAAAUGGGCUACAUUUUCUUUACCAAAGAAAAUCAAAAACAGUAAUCUUUAUGAAACUUAAGGAUUUAAGGAGGAUUUAGUAGUAAAUUAAGAAUAGAGAGCUUAAUUGAACUAGGCCAUAAAGCACGCACACACCGCCCGUCACCCUCCUCAAAUACAAAUAAUACUAACUCGAGAUAAAAGUAUAAGAGGAGACAAGUCGUAACAAGGUAAGUGUACUGGAAGGUGUGCUUGGAUAAA